Molecule: long non-coding RNA, 8028 nt
Filed under: Triticum aestivum (bread wheat)
Lineage: Eukaryota; Viridiplantae; Streptophyta; Magnoliopsida; Poales; Poaceae
Description: long non-coding RNA (TAES_LNC010698)
Source: RNAcentral
CAACACCCACACGCGCUGGACAAUCCCCAGUAUAUUUUCCCCCUCUCUCCCUCGCGCUGCUCCAUCCUCGACUGCCAUGGCCGCCAUUGUCGUCGUCGGUCGCAUAGCCACCACACGCCCCUCGCUGCCUCUCUGCGUCCAUCGGCUCCGACGGGAUCCUCUUUGUCUCCCUCGCCGCAGGACCCGAGCCGGCGAGCGCCACUGCCGUCGCCUGCAUCAUCUUCCCCAACCUCGGCCACCGCAUCUCGCUUAGACCUACGCAUCCCCGACCAUCCCCGAGCCUCCUGAGCCGCCCUACGAGUGCGCGGUGAGCUCCUACUCUGAUUCCCCGCGACCUCGGCUUCGAUCCAUGCGUUUUUACGUCGUUGUUCACCAUGGACCGAGCUCCUGUGUUCAUGCACGCCUUGCAAGCUCCCAGCCAUGUUCGCGCCCCUGCUGCUCCUUGUGCUGCUUUGCUGUUUGUUGCGUUGGCUGUGUUGCUGCUUGCCACUACUCCUGCUAGCUAUUGUUUGCUAGCCGCUGCUCUUGCUGUUGCUGCUGCGUCGCUGCAGCUCUGCUACUACUGCGCUGCUUACUGCUGCCGCUACUUCUGCCAGCCGCCGCCGCCGUUGCUGCUCCGAGUCUGCGCGCUGCGCGCAGCUGCCCGCACCAUGCCUUGCGCGUGCCCCAGCCGCACCAGCCCCAUGUAGAGGCGUGCGCCACUGCAGGCUGUUGUUCCUGGCCAAGACUCGUGCGUGCCCAGCCAUGGGAAUGGUUGUGCCUAUGGCCGGCCUUGUUUGAUUACUAGUAGGUUUAGUUCAGCGAUAUUUUAAUGCUAAUUUAGUAUAGUAGUAGAUGACAUGUAGGACCCUAUUAAAUAAGUUAGAUUUAAUUAUUUGAUUAGGUAAUAGUUUAUGACAUGUGGGCUACAUUUGCCCUUUUAACUAGUCAAAUUGACUUGGUCAAUUUGGAUUAAACUAGAUAUAAUAAUUUCAGAAAAUUAUUAAAAGUUGAAAAUUAAUAUAUAAAAAACCGUAGCUCGGAUGAAAAAACUUUGUACAUGAAAGUUGCUCAGAACGACGAGACGAAUCCGCCCGUUCGUCCGCCAUGCAUCCUUAGCAUAGCAAACACGCAACUUUCCCCCUCCGGUUCAUCUGUCCGAAAACGCGAAACACCGGUGAUAUUUUCUCGAAUGUUUCCCCCCUUCACCGGUACCACCUCUUACCGCGUUAUGGCACCCCUAGCACCGUUAUUUGUCAUGUCAUGCAUCGCUAUGCAUCUGUUUGCUUAAUAUUUAUUGUUUCUUCCCCCUCUUCUCUCCCUAGACACCGAGACCGACGCCGCUACUACCCAGUACGACUACGGUGUUGACGACCCCUCUCUCUUGCCAGAGCAAGAAGGAAAGCCCCCCUUUGAUCACCGGAUAUCGCCUACUCUUCUCUCUACUGCUUGCAUUAGAGUAGUGUAGCAUGUUACUGCUUUCCGUUAAUCCUAUUCUGAUGCAUAGCCUGUCAUUGUUGCUCCAGGUGUUGAUACCUUACCUGCAAUCCUAAUGCUUAGUAUAGGAUGCUAGUUUAUCAUCAGUGGCCCUACAUUCUUGUAUGUCUGCCAUACUAUACUAUCGGGCCAUGAUCACUCGGGAGGUGAUCAUGGGUAUAUACUAUAUACUUUAUACAUGAUACAUGUGAUUACUAAAGUCGGGUUGGCUCGAGGAGUACCCGCGGUUGAUACACGAAUUAGGGGCUGGAAGGACAUACUUUCCCGACGGCCCUCUAUGUGGAUCUUUGUGGCGAAGCGAUAGGGCAGGUUGAGACCACCUAGGAGAGAGGUGGGCCUGGCCCUGGUCGGCGUUUGCGGAUACUUAAACACGCUUAACGAGAUCUUGGUAUUUGAUCUGAGUCUGGCCACUGGCUUAUACGCACUAACCAUCUACGCGGGGACAAUUAUGGGCACUCGAUGUCGUGGUAUCAGCCGAAACCUUCAUGACGUCAGCGACUGAGUGGCGCGCGCCGGAUUGGACUGGAACGCCUGCUAGGCUAGGUCUGCUUCCGGCCAUGUUCGCAACGUGCAGGUGUGCAAAGGGCGAUGGGCCCAGACCCCUACGCCAUAGGAUUUAGACCGGCGUGCUGACCUCUCUGUUGUGCCUAGGUAGGGCUGCGACGUGUUGAUCUUCCGAGGCCGGGCAUGACCCAGGAAAUGUGUCCGGCCAAAUGGGAUCAAUCAUGUUGGGUUAUGUGGUGCACCCCUGCAGGGAAGUUAAUCUAUUCGAAUAGCCGUGAUCUUCGGUAACAGGACGACUUGAAGUUGUACCUUGACCUUAUGACAACUAGAACCGGAUACUUAAUAAAACACACCCUUCCAAGUGCCAGAUACAACCGGUGGUCGCUCUCUCACAGGGCGACGAGGGGAGGAUCAUCGGUUAGGAUUAUGCUACACGAUGCUACUUGAUGAACUUACCAUCUACUCUCUUCUUCUACUACAAGAUGGAGGUUACCAGAAGCGUAGUCUUCGACAGGAUUAGCUAUCCCCCUCUUAUUCCAGUAUUCUGCAGUUCAGUCCACAUAUGUUACCCCCUUUUCCAUUUGAUACCAAUGCAUACAUAUGUAGUGUAGCUCCUUGCUUGCGAGUACUUUGGAUGAGUACUCACGGUUGCUUUGCUCCCUCUUCUCCCCUUUUCUAUACUCGAUUGCUGCGACCAGACGAUGGAGCCCAGGAACCGGAUGCCACUGUCGAUGACGACUACUACUACUCGGGAGGUGCCUACUACUACAUGUAGUCCGCUGACGACAACCAUGAGUAGUUUAGGAGGAUCCCAGGCAGGAGGCAUGCGCCUCUUUCGGUCUGUAUCCCAGUUUGUGCUAGCCUUCUUAAGGCAACUUGUUUAAUUUAUGUCUGUACUCAGAUAUUGUUGCUUCCGCUGACUCGUCUAUGAUCGAGCUCUUGUAUUCGAGCCCUCGAGGCCCCUGGCUUGUAAUAUGAUGCUUGUAUGACUUAUUUUUAUUUGUAGAGCUGUGUUGUGAUAUCUUCCCGUGAGUCCUUGAUCUUGAUCGUACACGUUUGCGUGUAUGAUUAGUGUACGGUCAAAUCGGGGAUGUCACAAGUUGGUAUCAGAGCCGACUGCCUAUAGGAAUUCCCCUUUCCAACUCCUUGGCCGAAGUCGAGUCUAGUCAUUGAAAAACUUUUACUAACAUGGCUGUGUGGCUUACGGGCCCACGUCGCCAUUGGGUGGUAUUAGGAUCUUUUACUCCUUGUCUAUACUCUGGGACUUUGAACUCUCUUCUACUCGGGUUAAACGAAUUUGCUAAAAUCUAACAUUAGGAUCUCGUGAUCACUUUCACCCGAAGAGCCCCUUAUCACAGAUGAUGGCCUGCUUCACCAGAAGAUUCCGAAAAUACUCUCUGAUAUUCUCUCGAGACUUUGUGCCCACCACUUUUGUUAUUCCCGUCCACCGAUAAAUCGUUAUGGAUAACCACAUACACUUGUCCUUCUUACAAUCAGUCCCCAGUUGCUCUUGUUAUUAUAAGAUACCCCAAAAUACUUGUUGUUGUCCAAGAAUACUUUGUGCCAUCGGUUUUGCAAUUACAUUCCAUCGAAAAAAACCCUACGAAUAAUUUCUCGCACCUACCGAGUAUCCACUCAUCCCUAGUGGAUUCAUGUAUGUCACCAAUCUUCAAAAUACCAUUCGAUCUUCCGAAAAUCCUCAACAGCCUAUUGCUCUUGAAAUUUUGGCUUGCUUACAUUAUGGUUAAUCCCUUAAAUCUAGUAAUCUUAUUGGCAUCCUUUGUCACUACCAUUUUGAGUCUGUCGAUUCAAUAUGCUGCGGAUGCUCGUAAUCCUCAGGAUUUAUCCAACCGGCUCAGACAUCAUUUUAAACAUGAGCUGGUUCUCGACCAAUCGGAUUACCGUCGAUUGUACCCCUAAGGCUAUUCAACUUAUCCAUCCCUAAUCAGAGCAUUGCUUCUGAUCCCUUGUCUUGGAAGUCAUAAUUCCUUUGCAUUUGAGCUUUGAGUUAGUCAGUUGUUUCUAUAAUCUGAUGCACUUGCAUUCCUUCUUCCUUUGAUAGAGUACUGAUACUCACAUCAGCUCAGUUGUAGACCACCAGACCUAUUGUUGGAUUAUUAUCCGACAGUGUCCUUCAUAUUAAAAUAACCUCGAUAAGCCUUUCCACGGAUAUAUAAAGCCUUUGGUAAAUUGUAUCCUCUGUUUUCUCAUCCAUGCUCUGUUUUUGAGCUGGUGGUAUUUACUAUUGAAGCUUGUGGUAUAUGUUUCCACGAUACCCUGACGGAUUGAACCUAUGCCUUCCUUAAUAUGUGUGAACUCGAAAGUUUUCACGAGUCAUACUCUUCUGGUAUUUUUCUAGAUAAAAUUUCAACACUACAACUUCUUCGAAGUGAGAGGUGAAUGGAAGGUUAUACAUUGAAGAAGUGGGAGUCGACCUUGAACUUGUACUCAUGCCCAUGGACACGAUGUAGAUCCUACCAUAGAAGCUUCUUGUAAUAAUAAUGAUUUCGUUGAUAUAAUAUCAUCUGGUAUCUGUGAAUUGAUCCUAUGCAAUCGUGGUUCCGACCAUAUUUUCUCUUUGAUCCCAUUUCUCGGACAAGUUAAAGCACUUGUCUUUUGCAAGUCAAUAGACCAGUCCAACCUCUACCUUGAUCUACCAUCGAGUAUUACCCUAUGGUAUCUCGAGAAUAUCUAAGUAUUGUGUUGCAUCUUAUGAGUCUUCAUCAGCUAUUAUUUCUCACUGAUUCCAAUUUUUCAUGGGUUCUGAGUUGUUAGUCGCUCAAGAACACCGGUAAGUGAACCGAUUCCGCACUCUAGUUCGGUAACUCUAAGUAAUAUUUGUUGCUUAUGAGUUUAAUAAUCCUUCAAGUCAUUCCUAUCCUAAUCGGCUAUAUCAUUAUUGUGCUAAAUUUAACUGUGCUACCUGGUCCUUCCUGGAGCAAAAAUUUCGACGGUGAGCUAAUCUUACGUCGACCUUCCUCGUCAUAUCAAUUGUCCUUGAACAACAAGUGUGAUUUCAAGUUUGUGUCGUACCCAUGGUUUCAGUAACUUUUCGCUUCAUCAUUCCGUUGACUUGAUGUCAUCGCCGAUCGGUUACAUCUUCUUGAAACCUCUCGGCAAUUGUGUCGUGAUAAUCAUCAACAUCCUAAUCUCUUCCAAGAUAUAUAUAUCGAUUUCUUAAUCGGUAAUACCAUCCUUGCCACUCGAUAAUUCGUGUUAUCAUCGACCACUUUAUUGCCUUCCGUUCAACACAAACUUGGUCAUGUUUUGUGUUAUACGUUGAGAUCCUUGAUGUCCAGCAUUUGUUCUUGUUUACCUUGGAAGUAUUACCAUCAUUUAUGUCAAGAAAGUUAGGAGAGUUUCACCACCUCUUAAGAGAUCUUGAUACAGGUGAUACUUCUUGCCAUAUCCGUUCAUUCCUUGGUCCCCGUGUUGUUUCUAACCGGAAAACUGAGAAUUGAACUAUGAUGUGCGACUUCAAAACUUCUAGCAACCCUAUGGCUUUGAAGUUAAUGGUUGAUAUUUCAUUCUUAUACCAUUGGUCAUCGAAUCACCAUUCUAACAUUGAUCAUGCUACCUAAGCCCAUAUUUUGGGUGCACCUUUCAAUCAAUGUUUAACUGUGUAUGUUUUCCUCGAGCAUACCUCAUUAUAUCAUUUGAUCUAACAAAUGUUAUCUCCUUGUUCAAAUACUGGUGGAAAUCCAUCUUUUGGAAAUCUCGAUUCAUUGUCGCUGAGUUCAUCAGCCACCUCCUCAUCCUCUCCUUGGUUAAUGAUGAACUUUGGUUUUGGAACUUGCUUCUAUAGUUCAUUUCCUGAGAAUCUUAUAUUGUCAUCUCGCCGAUUUGUGUUGCACCUCUUCUUCUCAGGCAACCUGAGUCUGGGGUAUCCUGACACCAAUCGGACCUAAAGCUCGGUCAGAUAUGAUGGUUGGAACAUAUAUCCAAGAGUUAUAACAUUGGUCUUUAUAUGACCCAGUAAGAUGAUGUCAUGCCUAGCACACCUGGCCGGAAGACCUAUUGUUAUAGUUUCCUUUUUAACAAGCUUAGCGAUUCUUCCUUGAGGAAAUCAUAAGACUUAUUUUAUAAGUUGUUCCUGAUGGAUCCUUUGUGUAUCCAAAGUCUAACCUUUGCUUGAAGACCAUGUCAAUGCUAUCUCGAAGCAUGUCUAUGGUACUCCGCUUUUCUAAAAGAGUAUUUGAAGCACAAUGCUAAAUUUUCUUUAUCAAUUAUCCUGAAGUCGUUGUAUGGGUAAUGUCAUGAAAUCCCUCGCCCCUUUACCUAAUUGAUUCUUUACUUGUUGUCCUGUCAUGGAUGGGAAAGAUAUACUCUUCAUACUCGGGUAUAAACACAUUUUCCUAUCCAUUGUUCUGAUUAAUAUACUAAUCACAUUUUCCUUUCCAUCGUUUUGUUUAACCUCUCUUGUAAUCUGAAUUACCUGAGCAGUGAUAGUUCCGUGCUUAUGUAAACACCUCAGUGUACAACUUUAUUAGUAAGGACCCUGUUGCUAUUGUUGAUGACAUUUCGGUAACCACCGAUGGACGAGAACUUUGCCUAUUGGUCCGCCUCGUUCAACGAGCAGGAAAAUGGUUCUCUUCGUCCCUCGCCCUUGGUACCGAUGUUGUUGCCGACAUAACUGAUAGGCUAUCCUCUGACAUGCCUUGCUUACAUGAUCGUGCAAGACAUCAUCGCCCUUCCUACUUUUAACCCACAUGGUGGGCCCAUAACCCACAGUUCCACUAGAUCGAAACCCGACUCUCCUGUACAUCCCUGAUUCAAACUUAUCCUUGCACUUGGUUUCAUAGGUAAUUUGCAAGCCACCUUACUAGUGAUCUAUUAUGGUAUCAGAUACAAAACUAAUUCUUGUUGCUCUGAACCCCUUUCACGCACUGUUUCACGCAACGAUGAUUGUCUAUCCGCUUGAAGCUUCUUACUUCACCUUCUAACCUUGCUCUUGAUGACUUUCUUGAAUUUCAACUCGAGAGAUGCCUCUAUGACACGUUCACUCAGAUAGCCCCCAGGUACCUAUCUUGUGUUGAGCUUCGCCCUUCCCGAGUCUUUCCCCUUACUCCACCCUUUAAAUCUCGGGACAAGAUUUCUUGUAGUGGAAGAGAUUUGUAACAUCCCGAGAUUCUUGCUACAGUAAUCUUCCACUAAUUAUGCCUGGUCAUCACCAUUAUGCCCUGAGAAAAACAAUUUAGAAUACUUCGACCUCAAUUGUUUUUUAAAUAAAGUCCAAAUAUUAAUUAUUCAAACAGCAAAACAAAAGUGUUCAUGAUAUUGCAAAAUUUCCCAAAGCUUUUAUAAAAAUGAAACCAACGUUUUAUAAAGUGUUUAAGUGCCCUAAAAAUAAUUAAAACAGUGCCAAGACAAUAUUUCAAUGCUUAUCUAAAUUAUGAAAAGUCCAAACUAUUUUAAAAAUAAACUCCCAAACAUUUUGUGGCAGUGCAGAUUGUUGCCUAGUAAUUAUGGAGACAAGUUUCGCAUGCAAUGAAAUUCAUUUGGAUCAAAAUCAAAAUACAAAACUGAGGGGAAACUUGUCACAAAAAAAGAGAAAGGAAAUAGACUAGAUACUAUUCACUUAAGGCCCGACAAGCCACAGUGCGGCCUGGCCUGCCCAAGUCGGCCUUUCAUCCUCCUCCCGCAUCUCUCUGGAUGCACGAGACGCCAUGGCCGUCCAGAGCGGAUGCACCGCACGAUGUGCUCCACCGCGACGAGCCCUGUAGCCCUAGCGGGGAUAAGAUCAACGCCCACACGCGCUGGACAAUCCCCAGUAUAUUUUCCCCCUCUCUCCCUCGCGCUGCUCCAUCCUCGACUGCCAUGGCUGCCAUUGUCGUCGUCGGUCGCGUAGCCACCGCACGCCCAUCGCUGCCUCUCUGCGUCCAUCAGCUCCGACGGGAUCCUCUUCGUCUCCCUCGCCGCAGGACCUGAGCCGGCGAGUGCCACUGCCGUCGCCUGCAUCUUCUUCCCCAACCUCGGCUGUCGCAUCUCGCCUUCGACCUACGCAUCCCCGACCAUCCCCGAGCCUCCUGAGCCGCCCUACGAGUGCGC